RNAcentral lists this ribosomal RNA (253 nucleotides) under uncultured bacterium. Its description in RNAcentral is "partial 16S ribosomal RNA". It matches the Rfam family "Bacterial small subunit ribosomal RNA", at positions 524 to 776 of the family's 1533-position model. The record is from RNAcentral.
UACGAAGGGGGCUAGCGUUGUUCGGAAUUACUGGGCGUAAAGGGCGCGUAGGCGGUGUGUCAAGUCAGGCGUGAAAGCCCCGGGCUCAACCUGGGAACAGCGCUUGAGACUGGCACGCUCGAGUUCGGGAGAGGAUGGUGGAAUUCCCAGUGUAGAGGUGAAAUUCGUAGAUAUUGGGAAGAACACCGAUGGCGAAGGCGGCUACCUGGACAGAAACUGACGCUGAGGCGCGAAAGCUAGGGGAGCAAACAGG